AUGGAGAGUUUGAUCCUGGCUCAGGAUGAACGCUAGCGGGAGGCUUAAUACAUGCAAGUCGAGGGGUAACAGGGGACUUCGGUCCUGCUGACGACCGGCGAACGGGUGAGUUACGCGUACGCAACUUGCCUUCAAGCGGAGGAUAGCCCCGGGAAACUGGGAUUAAUACUCCAUAGUAUCAUAGAAUCGCAUGGUUUUAUGAUUAAAGAUCCGUUGCUUGAAGAUAGGCGUGCGUGCUAUUAGCUAGUUGGUAAGGUAGUGGCUUACCAAGGCGACGAUAGCUAGGGGGCGUGAGAGCGUGGCCCCCCACACGGGUACUGAGACACGGACCCGACUCCUACGGGAGGCAGCAGUAAGGAAUAUUGGACAAUGGGCGCAAGCCUGAUCCAGCUAUCCCGCGUGCAGGAUGACGGCCCUAUGGGUUGUAAACUGCUUUUAUACAGGAAGAAACGCUUCCAUUUAUGGGAGCCUGACGGUACUGUACGAAUAAGCACCGGCUAACUCCGUGCCAGCAGCCUCGGUAAUACGGAGGGUGCAAGCGU
This 542-nucleotide ribosomal RNA is filed under the name uncultured Pelagophyceae. Its description in RNAcentral is "partial Bacterial small subunit ribosomal RNA". It matches the Rfam family "Bacterial small subunit ribosomal RNA", at positions 1 to 541 of the family's 1533-position model. Lineage: Eukaryota; Pelagophyceae. The record is from RNAcentral.